UGGGGAAUUUUGGACAAUGGGGGCAACCCUGAUCCAGCCAUGCCGCGUGCGGGAAGAAGGCCUUCGGGUUGUAAACCGCUUUUGGUCGGGAAGAAAAGGUUCUCCCUAAUACGGGGGACUGUUGACGGUACCGGCAGAAUAAGCACCGGCUAACUACGUGCCAGCAGCCGCGGUAAUACGUAGGGUGCGAGCGUUAAUCGGAAUUACUGGGCGUAAAGCGUGCGCAGGCGGUUUGUUAAGUCUGAUGUGAAAGCCCCGGGCUCAACCUGGGAACUGCAUUGGAAACUGGCAAGCUAGAGUGUGGCAGAGGGGGGUGGAAUUCCGCGUGUAGCAGUGAAAUGCGUAGAGAUGCGGAGGAACACCGAUGGCGAAGGCAGCCCCCUGGGCCAACACUGACGCUCAGGCACGAAAGCGUGGGGAGCAAACAGG
Molecule: ribosomal RNA, 429 nt
Filed under: uncultured bacterium
Lineage: Bacteria
Description: bacterial SSU rRNA
Rfam family: Bacterial small subunit ribosomal RNA
Source: RNAcentral